Molecule: ribosomal RNA, 439 nt
Filed under: uncultured bacterium
Lineage: Bacteria
Description: partial 16S ribosomal RNA
Rfam family: Bacterial small subunit ribosomal RNA
Source: RNAcentral
CUACGGGGCGCAGCAGUGGGGAAUAUUGGACAAUGGGGGAAACCCUGAUCCAGCCAUGCCGCGUGAAUGAUGAAGGCCCUCGGGUUGUAAAGUUCUUUUGGUGGGGACGAUGAUGACGGUACCCACAGAAUAAGCUCCGGCUAACUUCGUGCCAGCAGCCGCGGUAAUACGAAGGGAGCUAGCGUUGUUCGGAAUUACUGGGCGUAAAGGGUGCGUAGGCGGUUUAACAAGUCAGGUGUGAAAGCCCCGAGCUCAACUCGGGAACUGCGCUUGAUACUGUUAAGCUAGAAUUCGGAAGAGGUGAGUGGAAUUCCCAGUGUAGAGGUGAAAUUCGUAGAUAUUGGGAAGAACACCGGUGGCGAAGGCGGCUCACUGGUCCGACAUUGACGCUGAGGCACGAAAGCGUGGGGAGCAAACAGGAUUAGAUACCCUUGUAGUC